UACGUAGGGGGCAAGCGUUUGUCCGGAUUUAUUGGGCGUAAAGAGCGUGUAGGCGGUUUGGUAGGUCCGCUGGUGAAAAACUCGAGGCUCAACCUCGAGACGCCGGUGGAAACCAUCAGACUAGAGUCCGGAAGAGGAGAGUGGAAUUCCUGGUGUAGCGGUGAAAUGCGCAGAUAUCAGGAAGAACACCCGUGGCUAAGGCGGCUCUCUAGUACGGUACUGACGCUGAGACGCGAAAGCGUGGGGAG
This 248-nucleotide ribosomal RNA is filed under the name uncultured bacterium. Its description in RNAcentral is "partial 16S ribosomal RNA". It matches the Rfam family "Bacterial small subunit ribosomal RNA", at positions 524 to 768 of the family's 1533-position model. The record is from RNAcentral.